This 425-nucleotide ribosomal RNA is filed under the name uncultured bacterium. RNAcentral describes it as "partial 16S ribosomal RNA". It matches the Rfam family "Bacterial small subunit ribosomal RNA", at positions 354 to 796 of the family's 1533-position model. The record is from RNAcentral.
GUGGGGAAUAUUGGGCAAUGGGCGAAAGCCUGACCCAGCAACGCCGCGUGAAGGAAGAAGGUCUUCGGAUCGUAAACUUCUAUCCUUGGUGAAGAUAAUGACGGUAGCCGAGAAGGAAGCCCCGGCUAACUACGUGCCAGCAGCCGCGGUAAUACGUAGGGGGCAAGCGUUGUCCGGAAUGAUUGGGCGUAAAGGGCGCGUAGGCGGCCUGGUAAGUCUGGAGUGAAAGUCCUGCUUUUAAGGUGGGAAUUGCUUUGGAUACUGUCGGGCUUGAGUGCAGGAGAGGUAAGUGGAAUUCCCGGUGUAGCGGUGAAAUGCGUAGAGAUCGGGAGGAACACCAGUGGCGAAGGCGGCUUACUGGACUGUAACUGACGCUGAGGCGCGAAAGUGUGGGGAGCAAACAGGAUUAGAUACCCGGGUAGUCC